GCAAAGGAAGAAGGCAAAAGGAAAGCAAGAGAGAGAAAGAAAGGAAGAAGUGACCUGAUCAAGCGCAGACACUGGCUUGACUUUGCAUUGGGAUCACUCACCGCUCAAGUUGCCAUCUGUCACAAUUAAAAAGUAGUUGGAGGAUCUCUGGAGUAGUUUUUCCAUGGAAUCAGGCUCUGCAAGCGUCAAUAAUUGCCAUCCUAAGGAAGCCAUAGGCAGCUGAGAAGAUCUCCAUUUAAUCCAUUUCUGGAAGAGCACUGGUGUGAAACACAACCAACUCCUCUGGGACACCUACAGCACAAGGUCCAUCCAUUCCUUGCGAGGUGUGACUCUAAAACAGCUUCACCUCCACGCAAGUCAUCAGGCAAAGAGCAGCCAGUGCUGGAGCCCUCUCUGUGCAAGGUUCUCCAGGAGCCCCGAUAAAUCCUUGUGCUGAGGAGUGACUCUAAUAUGUAGAGGGCAUGGAAGAGGAGACAAUGCUAUCAGAUGCUCUCCUCGUCAUUUAAAAUAAAGGUGAAAAUAUAAUUCAGUGUGCAAGAAACUAAGCACCCAAGUCCCAUUUGUUCGCAUGCACCCAUGUGAAACAUGGGCAGAAGGAGUACAUACGUCAGCAGGCACGUACUCCAGAGCCUUGCAGGACUCCUGUGAGC
Molecule: long non-coding RNA, 650 nt
Organism: Pezoporus occidentalis (night parrot)
Lineage: Eukaryota; Metazoa; Chordata; Aves; Psittaciformes; Psittacidae
Exons: 5
Source: RefSeq, a predicted model, not a curated record